RNAcentral lists this ribosomal RNA (503 nucleotides) under uncultured bacterium. Its description in RNAcentral is "bacterial SSU rRNA". It matches the Rfam family "Bacterial small subunit ribosomal RNA", at positions 29 to 524 of the family's 1533-position model. The record is from RNAcentral.
AGUGAACGCUGGCGGCAGGCCUAAUACAUGCAAGUCGAACGGCAGCACAGCAGAGCUUGCUCUGUGGGUGGCGAGUGGCGGACGGGUGAGGAAUACGUGGGAAUCUGCCCAGUCGUGGGGAUAACGUAGGGAAACUUACGCUAAUACCGCAUGCGCCCUUCGGGGAAAGCCGGGGACCUUCGGGCCUGGCGCGAUUGGAUGAGCCCACGUCGGAUUAGCUAGUUGGCGGGGUAAAGGCCCACCAAGGCGACGAUCCGUAGCUGGUCUGAGAGGAUGAUCAGCCACACUGGAACUGAGACACGGUCCAGACUCCUACGGGAGGCAGCAGUAGGGAAUAUUGGACAAUGGGCGCAAGCCUGAUCCAGCCAUGCCGCGUGAGUGAAGAAGGCCCUCGGGUUGUAAAGCUCUUUGUCCGGAAAGAAAGCGCCGGGUUAAAACCCUGGUGUCCUGACGGUACCGGAAGAAUAAGCACCGGCUAACUUCGUGCCAGCAGCCGCGGUAAU